RNAcentral lists this long non-coding RNA (1346 nucleotides) under Piliocolobus tephrosceles (Ugandan red Colobus). RNAcentral describes it as "lncRNA (ENSPTEG00000015427.1)". Lineage: Eukaryota; Metazoa; Chordata; Mammalia; Primates; Cercopithecidae. The record is from RNAcentral.
UACAUAUAUAUUUAUACAUAUAUAUUUAUUGUUUUUUCCCCCCGAUUGUUUAGUUCAAUGACGAAGACAUAAAAGAUCUUUUAAAGGAUGUAGGGAGCACUACCAGUUAUAAAGUUCAAUAUGACGAAGAAAAAAAAGUACACACCGCGUUUGUUGAAUUUAAAAACGAAGAACAGGCAAAGGCUGCUUUAAAUUUGAAUGGAUUAAAAGUAGGAGAAUAUGAAAUCACUAUAAAAGAUGCAUAUAGCUUACUAAUUGAAAAAGACAUUAAAAAUAAUAAUUUUUCGUUUUAUAGUAACACAAACCAAAGUGAAAACACUACUCAAAAGACAUUGGUGAACAAACAAGUAACGGUCAAUGAAAAGGUUGAAAAGGUUUUGGCACUAAAAGAAAAACUAACAUUAAAAUUGUGCGCAAUGUAUAAUCCAAACUUACUUUUAGUUAACAAUUUAAUUAAAAAUAAUGCACAACUAUUAAACACAAAUGAUACGCAAUUUAUAAACACAAACACUAUACCACUUGUAAAUCCAAAUGACAACUUAAAUGUUACUAAAAAUGGUAUUCCUAAUAAUGAGAAGAACACUACAUAUGAAAAAAAACAUUUAAAUGAAAAGAAUAGCUCAAAAGAAAUAGAAAAAAAAGAAUAUACAUAUAAUUCUAACGACUUAAACAGUAAUAAAGAUAAAACAGGCAUAACUACUAAUACUACUAUUAGUAGUAGCAGUUGCAGUCGUAGUAGUAGUAAACAUCAUAUCAAAAAAAAAAAGAAAAAAGAAAAAAAAAAAAAAGAUAGCAAUAAAUACAAUGAUUCAAACUCACCCCCUUAUAGCAAUUUAUCUUCAAUUUAUAGUAACUUGUCGGAAUCAAGUAAACAAGAAACUUCUUUUUUUGACAGGAGCAAAAACAGGAGAAUAAGCAGGAGCAGACAUAGAAGCAUAAGUAGCAGUAGAAGUAUAACUAGCAGUAGAAGUAUAAGUGAUGAUCAUAGAAAAAGAAGCAGGAUAAGUGAGAGGCGAAAAUAUAUAUAUAAAAAACACCAUAGCAGAAAAAGAAAAAAACGCACUAGCAACUCUAGAAGUUAUGACAAGUCUAGCUAUACUAACAGCAAUUCUAUAAGUUCGUAUGAAUAUAACAAAAAUAAUAGAUAUCACCAAAAAGAAAAAAAAAGAAAUAUAUAUAUAAAAACAAAAAAUAAAUAUUAUCACUCCCCCCAGUAUAGUGAUACCGAUUCAUCAUAUUCUUCGAGAAAAAAGAAAAAAAAAGUGAGAAGCAUAUCCAGUAGUCAAAAACCUUGGUGGAUAAAGGAAUCUGAAAAAAUGGAAAUGCGCAAGAGAAUGAAAGAAAAA